Non-coding RNA from Chelonoidis abingdonii (Abingdon island giant tortoise), 751 nucleotides. The record is from RefSeq and is a predicted model, not a curated record. Lineage: Eukaryota; Metazoa; Chordata; Testudines; Testudinidae.
UAGGAAGGAGUGGCAGGAAACACAAAUCACUGAACUGAAUUUAAAAUUUAGGGGUCAUGUAAAAAAAACAAACCUCCACGCAUGCUGCUGCCUAGCUCCUUUAUUCAUAAAAGCUAGAACAGAUCUGAAACUCGCCCUUCUUAUGCAAGAGAAAAACUGUACGUUUCCUUAAGGAUCAAAGAGUGCUUGUGUAUAACUGAGUGACGACAGUCCCAGCUGUUUGCUUUAUGGUUGCUGGCCACGUAAGCUUUACACAAGUUACUAAAUACAUAUGACUUCUCUCUAACAGAGAGAAGAUAUUUCUUUAAAAGCACAUAGCUGCAUAUAAACAUCUCCCAACUGUAAUCUUAUUUAAGGAUAUAUUUGACAAAGGAAGGAAAAGUGUGUUGGACUGUUGUCAAAAGAGGCACUGCUAGAUAGUGGGAUCCUCGAAAACCAUAAUGGUUAGGUAUGAAUGCAUUUAUAGUCUGGAGGCUCAGCUUUCUAGUGGUUUAAUGCAUUUGUUUCUAGGCUUGUCAGGUUGGGACCUCAUAAUCAGAUCAUUCUAAGUAGCAGCUGUUUUUUUUUCAUUAGAAUUGUGACACUACUUCAGUAUCUGUUAUCUUGGCAACCACUAAAGCUAGAAACCAAUGCUUCUACUUUCUGAAAGCAUCUUAAGCUUCCAUCUUUCAAAGAGUUUAAAACAUUAAUCUCCAUUUCCAAUGUUCUGUGAGAGAUCUGCUGUUAGUCAUUUCAGAACUGAAGCAGAAUA